GUGCUCACUUUGGCAACAUAUAUACUAAAACUGGAACAAUACAGAGAAGAUUAGCGUGGCCCCUGUGCAAGGAUGACACGAAAAUUCGUGCCACGUUCCAUAUUUUU
Molecule: small nuclear RNA, 107 nt
Organism: Otolemur garnettii (small-eared galago)
Lineage: Eukaryota; Metazoa; Chordata; Mammalia; Primates; Galagidae
Source: Ensembl